This is a non-coding RNA of Phoenix dactylifera (date palm), 618 nucleotides long. Lineage: Eukaryota; Viridiplantae; Streptophyta; Magnoliopsida; Arecales; Arecaceae. The record is from RefSeq and is a predicted model, not a curated record.
GUGCCUUUAUCUAUCAAUACAAGACUUGACAAGGAGCUUUCGGGCUUUGUUUUAUGGGGACAUACUUCUGAUAGGAGGGGUCUUCAUCUAGUUUCUUGAGCAAAUGUUUGUAUACCAAAAGACCAUGGUGGUCUGAGUUUGUGUUUAUUGGCGCAAAUGAGGUACCCAUCAUACUGUCGACCAAAUAUAUGGCCUUCCAUUUCCUUGCCUGAGCUUGAACAAGGUACAUGGGCAUCUCUCCUCUGAAUCCAUAUAUGUGAAUAAUACUGGAGAAGGUUCUUCAGUCUGUUGGGUAAAUUGUAUAUUAUCAUCUUCAUGAGAUUCCUAAGAGGAAGUUAUAUCCAUCACUGUGAGAACUUUGAGAAUAUGGUCCCUUCCAAUUCUCAUUUGAAAUGCUUCUGAAAUGUUGAGUGAUUCAUGUUGGUAGAAUUAAUUGGGUGAUUCUCAUAAUAAAUUUUCCUGUAAUUUCUUUCUCUAAUUAUUUUAACUAUUCUUUUAUAGAUCCAAGAUUCUUCACGCUUAUUCUCUGAUUCAAAUUCUAGCAUCCAUCACUCAAGUUCUUGACCCAAAGAUUCAUCAACACCUAGCUUCUUUUUUUCAGUCAAAGUUUGUUCUGUU